GCCUGGGUGGCUCAGUCAGUUAAGCCUCUGACUUUGGCUCAGGUCAUGAUCUCGAGGUUCGUGGGUUCGAGUCCUGCUUCGGGCU
This 85-nucleotide transfer RNA is filed under the name Felis catus (domestic cat). It matches the Rfam family "tRNA". Rfam says of the family: Transfer RNA (tRNA) molecules are approximately 80 nucleotides in length. Their secondary structure includes four short double-helical elements and three loops (D, anti-codon, and T loops). Lineage: Eukaryota; Metazoa; Chordata; Mammalia; Carnivora; Felidae. The record is from Rfam by way of RNAcentral. RNAcentral also lists the same sequence under 3 other names.